This 425-nucleotide ribosomal RNA is filed under the name uncultured bacterium. RNAcentral's name for it is "partial 16S ribosomal RNA". It matches the Rfam family "Bacterial small subunit ribosomal RNA", at positions 354 to 796 of the family's 1533-position model. The record is from RNAcentral.
GUGGGGAAUCUUGCGCAAUGGGCGAAAGCCUGACGCAGCCAUGCCGCGUGAAUGAUGAAGGUCUUAGGAUUGUAAAAUUCUUUCACCGGGGACGAUAAUGACGGUACCCGGGGAAGAAGCCCCGGCUAACUUCGUGCCAGCAGCCGCGGUAAUACGAAGGGGGCUAGCGUUGCUCGGAAUUACUGGGCGUAAAGGGCGCGUAGGCGGACAGUUUAGUCAGAGGUGAAAGCCCAGGGCUCAACCUUGGAAUUGCCUUUGAUACUGGCUGUCUUGAGUACGGGAGAGGUGAGUGGAACUCCGAGUGUAGAGGUGAAAUUCGUAGAUAUUCGGAAGAACACCAGUGGCGAAGGCGACUCACUGGCCCGUUACUGACGCUGAGGCGCGAAAGCGUGGGGAGCAAACAGGAUUAGAUACCCUGGUAGUCC